UACGUAGGGACCCAGCGUUGUCCGGAAUCAUUGGGCGUAAAGCGCGCGUAGGCGGCCCGGUAAGUCCGUUGUAAAAGUCGAAGGCUCAACCUUCGAAAGCCGAUGGAUACUGCCGGGCUAGAGUCCGGAAGAGGCGAGUAGAAUUCCUGGUGUAGCGGUGGAAUGCGCAGAUAUCAGGAGGAAUACCCAUAGCGAAGGCAGCUCGCUGGGACGGUACUGACGCUGAGGCGCGAAAGCGUGGGGAGCGAACAGG
Molecule: ribosomal RNA, 253 nt
Filed under: uncultured bacterium
Lineage: Bacteria
Description: partial 16S ribosomal RNA
Rfam family: Bacterial small subunit ribosomal RNA
Source: RNAcentral